RNAcentral lists this transfer RNA (75 nucleotides) under Firmicutes bacterium ADurb.Bin300. RNAcentral's name for it is "tRNA-Gln". It matches the Rfam family "tRNA". From Rfam's summary of the family: Transfer RNA (tRNA) molecules are approximately 80 nucleotides in length. Their secondary structure includes four short double-helical elements and three loops (D, anti-codon, and T loops). Lineage: Bacteria; Bacillati; Bacillota. RNAcentral also lists the same sequence under 1 other name. The record is from RNAcentral.
AGGGGUGUAGCCAAGUGGUAAGGCAACGGACUUUGACUCCGUCAUUCGUAGGUUCAAAUCCUGCCUCCCCUGCCA